AGAGCGAACGCUGGCGGCAGGCCUAAUACAUGCAAGUCGAACGAGCCCUUCGGGGUUAGUGGCGGACGGGUGAGUAACACGUGGGAACGUGCCCUUUGGUUCGGAACAACUCAGGGAAACUUGAGCUAAUACCGAAUGUGCCCUUCGGGGGAAAGAUUUAUCGCCAUUGGAGCGGCCCGCGUCUGAUUAGCUAGUUGGUGGGGUAAAGGCCCACCAAGGCUUCGAUCAGUAGCUGGUCUGAGAGGAUGAUCAGCCACACUGGGACUGAGACACGGCCCAGACUCCUACGGGAGGCAGCAGUAGGGAAUCUUGCGCAAUGGGCGAAAGCCUGACGCAGCCAUGCCGCGUGAAUGAUGAAGGUCUUAGGAUUUGGUAAAAUUCUUUCAGCGGGGACGAUAAUGACGGUACCCGCAGGAAGAAGCCCCGGCUAACGUUCGUGCCAGCAGCCGC
This 450-nucleotide ribosomal RNA is filed under the name uncultured bacterium. Its description in RNAcentral is "SSU rRNA". It matches the Rfam family "Bacterial small subunit ribosomal RNA", at positions 26 to 518 of the family's 1533-position model. The record is from RNAcentral.